Molecule: ribosomal RNA, 1226 nt
Filed under: Triticum aestivum (bread wheat)
Lineage: Eukaryota; Viridiplantae; Streptophyta; Magnoliopsida; Poales; Poaceae
Description: partial small subunit ribosomal RNA
Source: RNAcentral
CUUUUUUGAAGAAAUAAGGGGUGUAGGUGAGCAUCGCCCUUCUCCUCUCUGUCCUCGAGGGGGUUGUGAGCGAGUCUUCGUCGUCGAGGUCGAAGGGGGUCCCUCGGUUUUAUAAGCGCGGUUAACCCUCCGUACCCGCGGUUGCCCGUGGGCGGCGGGCGGUCGCGGCGGCGGGUCUUGCCCAGGGUGAGAUCGCCGCCGCCGCCGCCGCCUCCUCCUCCACCCCCGCCCCCUCCCCCUCGUUUGGGAUCGAGGCCGCCGUGCCGCCGCCGCGAGGCCGUGCUGGGCCCGGACAGGGCCCUCACCUGCGGCCUCCUCGUCCGGUAGGAGCUGCUCGACGAGCAGUUCAUACGUAGACUACGCGGACAAUAAGCCAUACGUUUUUAUCGGUAUUUCAACGGUCUCUUUUGUCAAGCUCUACACCGAAACGCCACAUCUACCUACUCAUUUUUCCUCUCACCAUUUUCUUUCUUUCUCCUGGUGUCGAGUAGUUUCUUUUCGUUCCUGUUUUUCCUCUUCCAACGUCUAAGAAGUAGCUUUGGUGGACAAGUAUAUCGACCUUCCGGCUCACAAGGCGGUAUGAGGGAAGGUCGUGAAGGGUAACUACUACUGCUUUAAAGUAGGUUUCGUUAACCUCCAGGUUGUCCUCUUGAGGAACUUUGAUUGCGGGUCCAAAAUUCAGUUUAAAGUUGUUUGGAACCGUGGUACGUCUAUGUCCUAUUGUAGAGAGACGACACGGUUUGAGCUCUAUUGUAUGAGUCCCACAACUUUCUCUACUUACUACGGGGUCUCUAGUACUUCGUCUACGGUGGUGAUGGGCACUUCUAUUUGCUCCUCGAACAGUUGAGGUAUGAGGGGUCCGGUUGACAUGGAUACGUCAUCACUAUCACUUACCUUACACAAAAGGUAUCAGACUUCUCGGGGAAUCUAUCCGUCGUUUUUAUUAUGAGGAUUCUUUUUACGGUCGGAACCGGGAUCAAACAAGCAAAAUCUAGGAAGGAGUAUAGUAUACAUAGACGUCUACAACUAGAAGGUUGACAAUGAGUUUAAUCCCCCAACCUUGUACAUGUCCCGAAUGGUCCCCAACGAAAAUGACGUCAACACUCAAAUUGAGACCGUAAGAAACAUCACAUUAUCGGAUUACACUUACACUACCUUAUACACUCAACCGGAAUCAAACUCAACAAGACACGUCAGAAAGGAAUUUAAAUUCACCAUAUGAACGG